Molecule: ribosomal RNA, 253 nt
Filed under: uncultured bacterium
Lineage: Bacteria
Description: partial 16S ribosomal RNA
Rfam family: Bacterial small subunit ribosomal RNA
Source: RNAcentral
UACGUAGGGUCCGAGCGUUGUCCGGAGUUACUGGGCGUAAAGAGCGCGCAGGCGGCUGGUCAAGUCCGAUGUGAAAUCUCCCGGCUCAACUGGGAAACUGCAUCGGAAACUGAUCGGCUUGAAGAUGGGAGAGGGUAGUGGAAUUCCCGGUGUAGUGGUGAAAUGCGUAGAUAUCGGGAGGAACACCAGUGGCGAAGGCGACUACCUGGCCCAUUCUUGACGCUGAGGCGCGAAAGCUAGGGGAGCGAACGGA